RNAcentral lists this ribosomal RNA (384 nucleotides) under Zeuxevania sp. 505. RNAcentral's name for it is "partial 28S ribosomal RNA". The record is from RNAcentral. Lineage: Eukaryota; Metazoa; Arthropoda; Insecta; Hymenoptera; Evaniidae.
AACCCGAAAGAUCGAAARGGCUGAUUCAUCGCGAGCGACGUCGGCUUUUCGGUGGUUCCCGGUGCGCUGCGCCCAUCCUGGUCGUUUGCCGCACGGGUCCUCCGUGCAACCUCAUGUCCGGCGACGUCGGCGUGCAAUUCUCCCCUAGUAGGAUGUCGCGACCCGUUGGGUGUCGGUCUACGGCUCGAGUCGUCGCCUGUUCCGUCGCUUCGGCGUAUAGGGACAAACGCUUUGUCGCCCGGCCGGCUGCCCGGUGGUACGCGCACGGUAUCUGGUCGCAAUUUCUUSUCGAACGCACUGUGUCUCAGGCCCGCCGCAAGCGCGGUCAAUGUAAACCCAGAGGCACGGUCCGGUGCCACUCCGGGCUGGACCCGCAGUUCGUCG